Molecule: ribosomal RNA, 492 nt
Filed under: uncultured bacterium
Lineage: Bacteria
Description: partial 16S ribosomal RNA
Rfam family: Bacterial small subunit ribosomal RNA
Source: RNAcentral
AGUGAACGCUGGCGGUAGGCCUAACACAUGCAAGUCGAACGGCAGCACAGUAAGAGCUUGCUCUUACGGGUGGCGAGUGGCGGACGGGUGAGGAAUACAUCGGAAUCUACUUUUUCGUGGGGGAUAACGUAGGGAAACUUACGCUAAUACCGCAUACGACCUACGGGUGAAAGCAGGGGAUCUUCGGACCUUGCGCGAUUGAAUGAGCCGACGUCGGAUUAGCUAGUUGGCGGGGUAAAGGCCCACCAAGGCGACGAUCCGUAGCUGGUCUGAGAGGAUGAUCAGCCACACUGGAACUAAGACACGGUCCAGACUCCUACGGGAGGCAGCAGUGGGGAAUAUUGGACAAUGGGCGCAAGCCUGAUCCAGCCAUACCGCGUGGGUGAAGAAGGCCUUCGGGUUGUAAAGCCCUUUUGUUGGGAAAGAAAAGCAGCAGGUUAAUACCCCGCUGUUCUGACGGUACCCAAAGAAUAAGCACCGGCUAACUUCGUG